Molecule: small nucleolar RNA, 134 nt
Organism: Molossus molossus (Pallas's mastiff bat)
Lineage: Eukaryota; Metazoa; Chordata; Mammalia; Chiroptera; Molossidae
Product: small nucleolar RNA SNORA22
Exons: 1
Source: RefSeq, a predicted model, not a curated record
UUGCACAGUGAACACCCAAGUGUGCUUUCUAGUUCCCUUGACUUUGACUCUGUGCUAGAGCAAUGUCCGUUCUGUGCCUCUGCACUGAAGAGACUAUUUAUCCUUUUAAAACUAUUCAGAAAGUCAGAACAUUA